GAGGGUAUAGCUUAAGUGGUAGAGUGCAUGCUUAGCAUUCACAAGGUCUUGGGUUCAAUCCCCAGUACCUCCU
RNAcentral lists this transfer RNA (73 nucleotides) under Camelus bactrianus (Bactrian camel). It matches the Rfam family "tRNA". From Rfam's summary of the family: Transfer RNA (tRNA) molecules are approximately 80 nucleotides in length. Their secondary structure includes four short double-helical elements and three loops (D, anti-codon, and T loops). The record is from Rfam by way of RNAcentral. RNAcentral also lists the same sequence under 2 other names. Lineage: Eukaryota; Metazoa; Chordata; Mammalia; Artiodactyla; Camelidae.